This 468-nucleotide ribosomal RNA is filed under the name uncultured bacterium. RNAcentral's name for it is "partial 16S ribosomal RNA". It matches the Rfam family "Bacterial small subunit ribosomal RNA", at positions 28 to 507 of the family's 1533-position model. The record is from RNAcentral.
GACGAACGCUGGCGGCGUGCUUAACACAUGCAAGUCGAACGGAAAGGCCCUGCUUUUGUGGGGUGCUCGAGUGGCGAACGGGUGAGUAACACGGGAGUAACCUGCCCUUUACUUUGGGAUAACUUCAGGAAACUGGGGCUAAUACCGGAUAGGAGCUCCUGCUGCAUGGUGGGGGUUGGAAAGUUUCGGCGGUUGGGGAUGGACUCGCGGCUUAUCAGCUUGUUGGUGGGGUAGUGGCUUACCAAGGCUUUGACGGGUAGCCGGCCUGAGAGGGUGACCGGCCACAUUGGGACUGAGAUACGGCCCAGACUCCUACGGGAGGCAGCAGUGGGGAAUAUUGCACAAUGGGCGGAAGCCUGAUGCAGCAACGCCGCGUGCGGGAUGACGGCCUUCGGGUUGUAAACCGCUUUCGCCUGUGACGAAGCGUGAGUGACGGUAAUGGGUAAAGAAGCACCGGCUAACUACGUG